GACGAGCAAUUUAACAAUGGCUUGUAACCUAUGUGGGGGCUUUAAGGAGGUUGGAGGUUAGUUCAUCGUGUCUUGUCAGACGAGGACGACUUGCUUGACCAAUCCACGAAGGGAGUUGGGUUGCGAAUUCUUGACGAAAGUCCAAAGUGCAAAUCCUUUAGAUUGGAGGAAACCGCGUGAGGUUGGCCUUACAGAGCAGUGUCACCUCCUGCUCUCGUCGGUGGACGGAUAACGUGCAAGUUCUUGAACAAAGUCUGUCCCAAGCCCGUAUCCUAUUUU
RNAcentral lists this signal recognition particle RNA (279 nucleotides) under Cucumis sativus (cucumber). RNAcentral describes it as "SRP RNA Plant_SRP". It matches the Rfam family "Plant signal recognition particle RNA". Lineage: Eukaryota; Viridiplantae; Streptophyta; Magnoliopsida; Cucurbitales; Cucurbitaceae. The record is from RNAcentral.